GGCGGUGCAUGCACAUCCGGCUUUAGGUUGUCGGGACUUUAAAAAAGCGCAACGUAAACAUGGCUUCAAAGAGAGCCCUGGUCAUCCUGGCCAAAAGAGCUGAGGAGAUGGAGACAGUCACCCCCGUGGACGUCUGCACCGUGCUGGGAUUAAGGUCACCAUUACAGGUCUGGCUGGGAAAGACUCUGUACAGUGUAGCCGUGAUGUCAUCAUUUGCCCUGACACAAGUCUCUAAGAGGCAAAAAAGGAGCGCCCCUACGACCACGUGGUGGUUCUCCCCUUUGGCGCGCAGGACUGGUCGGAGUUGCCAGCCGGAAAGGAGGUCCCGAGGGAGCAGGAGGGCGGGAAGGGCCUCGUCGCCGCCAUCCCUGCAGGUCCUGCAGCUCUGCUGGCUCAUGAAAUAGGCUCUGGAAGCAAGUUACAUCACACCCACUUGCUAAAGACAAAGUGAUGAAUGGGACUCAUUACAGCUACCGUGAGAGCCGCGUGGAGAGGGACGGCCAGGGACUCCCCCGCCGCGGGCCAGGUACCAGCUUCAAGCCCACGCUGGCCAUUGUGGAGGCGCUCAGUGGCAAGGAGGUGGCACAGCAGGUGAAGGUGCCACUUGUGCUCCGGGACUAG
This is an RNA transcript of Octodon degus (degu), 621 nucleotides long. It is a transcript of the gene named protein/nucleic acid deglycase DJ-1-like, with no coding region annotated. The record is from RefSeq and is a predicted model, not a curated record. NCBI's taxonomy places the organism in Eukaryota, Metazoa, Chordata, Mammalia, Rodentia, Octodontidae. The transcript has a single exon.